GGUCCUGCGGGAGGCAGCAGUAGGGAAUCUUCCACAAUGGACGAAAGUCUGAUGGAGCAACGCCGCGUGAGUGAAGAAGGGUUUCGGCUCGUCAAGCUCUGUUGGUAGUGAAGAAAGAUAGAGGGAGUAACUGGCCUUUAUUUGACGGUAAUUACUUAGAAAGUCACGGCUAACUAAGUGCCAGCAGCCGCGGUAAUACGUAGGUGGCAAGCGUUGUCCGGAUUUAUUGGGCGUAAAGCGAGU
This 243-nucleotide ribosomal RNA is filed under the name uncultured bacterium. RNAcentral describes it as "partial 16S ribosomal RNA". It matches the Rfam family "Bacterial small subunit ribosomal RNA", at positions 335 to 570 of the family's 1533-position model. The record is from RNAcentral.